ACAGAAUGACUCCUGGUUUAUAUCAGUUGAAGCAGAAAAAAAGAAUGAGGCUUUAACUGAGGAAUAAUCUAUGUUCUGUUUUUCCCACCAUGUAAAAUUCUCACUGACAAGAAAAAGCAUCUUCAGUGAAACAGGAGGUGUUCAGCUGUUGAAGAAGGUGCUGGCUCUCUCAGGGAACAGUGUGCCAUUGGGUUUUUAAUUAGCAGACGAGGUUAGUUGUUCUGUGUUUUGACACCCUGAGUAAUCACAAAAAGAGACCUGCUCCUUUGUAGCUGUAUCAAUUCCAAAUGAGAGGAAGAGGUGUGUUUCAGUGAGAUAACAGAACACCUGGCUGACACAGGAAGAUCUUCCUCUAAUCAAGGGUGGCUUCCAGAAUCCUAUGUCCAAGCCUUAAAAGAUGUUAAUGCAAUUAAGGUUUACUUAUACUG
This is a long non-coding RNA of Pezoporus occidentalis (night parrot), 428 nucleotides long. RefSeq lists it as uncharacterized. NCBI's taxonomy places the organism in Eukaryota, Metazoa, Chordata, Aves, Psittaciformes, Psittacidae. The record is from RefSeq and is a predicted model, not a curated record. The transcript is spliced from 3 exons.